GCAAGAUACCACGGGCGCACGGCGGAUGCCUUGGCACAGGGAGCCGAUGAAGGACGCGGCAAGCUGCGAUAAUCCCCGGCGAGGAGCACACAUCCUUCGACCCGGGGGUCUCCGAAUGGGCGAACCCAUCCACAGCAGUGUGGAUAUCCCGGCCCCGAACACAUAGGGGCCGGGAGGACAACCCGGGGAACUGAAACAUCUAAGUACCCGGAGGAGAGGAAAUCAAUCUCGAGACUCCCCGAGUAGCGGCGAGCGAAAGGGGACCGAUGGCCAAACCGUCGAGCGGGCAUACCCGGCAGGGGUUCCGCCGACGGGGUUGCAGGGCCGCGCAUCCGGGGGCUGCCGCCCCCGGGCGCAGGUCCGGCUGGGGAGCGGAACGGCAUGGGAGGGCCGGCCGCAGCGGGUGACAGCCCCGUACGCGAACCCAGACCGGACGGCGCGACGCGGUCCCUGAGUAGGGCCGGGCACGUGAAACCCGGUCCGAACCUGGGUGGACCACCAUCCAAGCCUGAGUACUACCCUGUGACCGAUAGCGCACCAGUACCGUGAGGGAAAGGUGAAAAGCACCCCGGGAGGGGAGUGAAACAGUACCUGAAACCGUGCGCCCACGAGCAGUCGGAGCACCCUUGUGGUGUGACGGCGUGCCUUUUGUAGAAUGAGCCAGCGAGUCGCUGGCGCGGGGCGAGGUUAACCGAAAGGGAGCCGGAGCGAAAGCGAGCCUUAACAGGGCGACUUGAGUCCCGCGCCGCGGACGCGAAGCCGGGUGAGCUAUCCGUGGGCAGGCUGAAGCGGGGGUAAGACCCCGUGGAGGGCCGAACGCACGUCGGUUGAAAACGGCGGCGAUGACCUGCGGAUAGGGGUGAAAGGCCAAUCAAACCCGGAGAUAUCUCGUUCUCCCCGAAAUAGCUUUAGGGCUAGCGUCGCGCGUUCACCGCCGGAGGUAGAGCACCGGAUGGACGAGGGGGCUUCGCCGCCUACCGAAUCCAACCGAACUCCGAAUGCCGGCGGCCCAGAGCGCGGCAGUCAGAGCAUGUGGGCUAAGCUGUGUGCUCGAGAGGGAAACAGCCCGGACCGCCCGCUAAGGUCCCCAAGUUCCAGCCGAGUGGCAAAGGAUGUGCGUCCGCCCAGACAACCAGGAUGUUGGCUUAGAAGCAGCCAUCCAUUCAAAGAGUGCGUAACAGCUCACUGGUCGAGUGGACAUGCGCCGACAAUACACGGGGCUAAGCUGGACACCGAAGCGGCGGGAUUUUGAUUUUCAGAAUCGGUAGGGGAGCUUCCCAUGGGCGGUGAAGCCGCCGGGCGACCGGCGGUGGAGCGCAUGGGAGUGAGAAUGCUGGCAUGAGUAGCGAGAGACGAGAGAGUAACUCGUCCGCCGUGAACCCGAGGUUUCCUGGGCAAGGCUAAUCCUCCCAGGGUCAGUCGGGGGCUAAGGCGAGGCCGGAAGGCGUAGCCGACGCGCAGCAGGCAGACAUUCCUGCACCGCGCACGCGGCGCUACGACCGACGGGGCGACGGAUGGGGGUGGCUCGGCGGGGUUCUGGACGUCCCCGUGAUGGAGCGCGGCCCGCGGACCAGGGAAAUCCGGUCCGCACGAGGGCGAGGCUCCGGACGAAGCGACUGAGCGAAGCGAGUGAGCCCGAGGUCCCUAGAAAAACCCCUAGGCAGGCGCGUGCGCGCCCGUACCGCAAACCGACACAGGUGGGUGGGUAGAACAUACCGAGGCGAUCGGGUCAACCAUGGUCAAGGAACUCGGCACAAUGGCCCCGUAACUUCGGGAGAAGGGGUGCCCGCGCGUACGUGAACCGGCUUGCCCGGGGAGCGGAGGCGGGCCGCAGUGGAGAGGCCCAAGCGACUGUUUACCAAAAACACAGGACUCUGCAGAAGCCGCAAGGCGACGUAUAGGGUCUGACGCCUGCCCGGUGCCGGAAGGUCACGCGGAGGAGUUAGCCGCAAGGCGAAGCCCCGAAGCCAAGCCCCGGUAAACGGCGGCCGUAACUAUAACGGUCCUAAGGUAGCGAAAUUCCUUGUCGGGUAAGUUCCGACCUGC
Molecule: ribosomal RNA, 2046 nt
Filed under: human gut metagenome
Description: bacterial LSU rRNA
Rfam family: Bacterial large subunit ribosomal RNA
Source: RNAcentral